CUAAGAAUAUUCCGCAAUGGACGGAAGUCUGACGGAGCGACGCCGCGUGGAUGACGAAGGCCGAAAGGUUGUAAAGUUCUUUUGCUGGGGAAGAAUAACCGCAGGAGGGAAUGCCUGUGGGAUGACAAGAACCGGCGAAUAAGCCCCGGCCAACUACGUGCCAGCAGCCGCGGUAACACGUAGGGGGCGAGCGUUGUUCGGAAUUACUGGGCGUAAAGGGCAUGUAGGCGGCUUGGAAAGCCUGGCGUGAAAGUCUGCAGCUUAACUGCAGGGGUGCGCUGGGAACUGCUGAGCCUGAGUGACGGAGAGGGAGCUGGAAUUCCUGGUGUAGGGGUGAAAUCUGUAGAUAUCAGGAAGAACACCGAUGGCGAAGGCAAGCUCCUGGCCGAUGACUGACGCUGAGGUGCGAAAGUGUGGGGAUCAAACAGGAUUAGAUACCCUGGUAGUCCACACAGUCAACGAUGUGCACUAGGUGCUGGGGCGGUAGCUUCGGUGCCGGAGCGAACGUGGUAAGUGCACCGCCUGGGGAGUAUGCUCGCAAGGGUGAAACUCAAAUGAAUUGACGGGGGUCAUAGCUGUUUCCU
RNAcentral lists this ribosomal RNA (584 nucleotides) under uncultured bacterium. Its description in RNAcentral is "partial 16S ribosomal RNA". It matches the Rfam family "Bacterial small subunit ribosomal RNA", at positions 355 to 938 of the family's 1533-position model. The record is from RNAcentral.